AGAGCUAAUGUGCCAACUGCUAAGUGACUUGCCGCUGGUCCCACAAGUGUGCUGAUGCCCUCAUGGUCCUCAACAUGGCCUCUCCUUGUAGCCUGCAUACAACAGUCUCCUGGCUUUUCUUUCUUGGCUAGUUACAGAUGGCCGCUGCAGCCUCGGUAGAAGAGGAGAUCUGAGCCUGAAACUCCUUUAAGAAAGCUGCUACUUACCAGUACCACCUGUGACUGGCUGUCACCACUCCUACAGUCUCUGCCAGCACUCUCUGCCAGCCACUCUCCUGCGGUCGUUCCUAUCUUCGAGGAAGAGUGGAGAAUAUCCUUUUAAAAUCUGGAUCCUUUUCCCCGUGGAAGAAGGUGGAGGGUAAAUACAGCAAUGUGCUCAGACGGCUUGCCCCGGAUCAUGAGCCUUGGAGGGUAUGUGUGGGCAGGGGCGGGGGUAUGUACUAUGUGUGCACAUGCCUAUAUUCAAAUGUGCUUCCAUACUUACUGUUAGGGAUCUUUCUCUAUCACAGUCCGUUUUUCUGUGACACUUUUCCUGGCCAAAUCUUAAGCCCACCCUUUCAUCUAAGAUGACUGGCUAGAGAGCUCUUGAGAUCUAUCUGUCUCUACACGUCCCAUCCCCCACCCCCAACCUGUGGUUACCUGCAUGGGCAGCCAUAGGCUUUACAUGGGUGCUGAAAAAUCAAACUGGGGUCCUUUUGGUACAGCAAGCACCCUUACCUACAAACCUGUCCUACCAGGCCCAGUUUGCAAGUCUUUUACAGACCUAUUUAGCGAGUUACUCAUGGUGCUAAUGAAUACAUCAACAACAAAAUGAACAAAUGCCACCGUGAGCUAAGGUCCUUCCGGCUCUCUUUAGAAAGCUGGUUGUUAAACAUUUACCAGCACACCACAAUCAGGCAAGCUACCAGGACUUCCUGCUGCAAAAGGCUCCCCUCCCCCCUUCAUCAGUUAUUUCUGACUUGUGAGUCCGUUGUAUUAAUGAUCAAGCAGAUAAACUUUGAAGUGUUCACCAUAAUAUGCCCCCUUCUUCCUUACAUAAUGGUUCUAGGCUCAUCCAUUUUUAUUGACUUCUAUUCUUCCCUUAGAGAAUGUUCAGCGGUCUUUGCUAAGUAUGUUAGUAGAUCCUUACAGCUGUUGACAUUUCUGUUCAAGGGAGUUGUUGUUCUUUUGGUUUCUGUUUGUUUGUUUUUAGGCUUUUCUAGACAGGAUUUUUCUAGGUAGCCCUGGAACUGACUCUGUAGACUAGGCUGACCUUGAACUCACAAAGACCAGCCUGCCUCUGCCUCCCGAGUGCUGGGACUAAAGUGUGUACCACCACCACCAGGCUCUAAAGGUUUUUUGGUUUGUUUUUUUUUUUUUUAAAUAUCCUGAAAUACUAUUCUAGUAAGAUUCAAGCACGCUCAGAAAAUGCCUCUGAUUUUAAGUUCAAGCUGUCACUAAGACAAUUCAGUUUUCUAAGUGAAGGGGUAAUCUGACUCAAGCAUGUCACACCAUUUAAAAUGAUUUCUGCUUUCAAAAACCAUUCCUGUGCCUUUACCCAGCACUUUGGAGACAGAGGCAGGCAGAUCUCUAAGAGUUCCAGGUAAGUCUGGUCUAUACAUUGAGUUCCAGGCCAGCCGGAGCUAUGUAGUGAGACCUUAGCUCGAAAAAUAAAACUAAAAUAAUCUGAAAAAGGUAUGACGUGCAAUGUUGUUUUACCUUCGUAAUAAGGAAAAGGUGUGGCCUGGUGUUGCUGUUUGUUUGUUUGCUUGCUCUGCUCUGCUCUGCUCUGCUCUGCUCUGCUCUGCUCUGCUCUGCUUUCUGGUACGGUGAAAGUUAAUUUCAGGGAGGAGGCUUCAGGUCAGUUCCAGCUCAGAGCCUCUGGAACCCAUAACUGAAGUUCAUGUGGGUGUUGAGGGCCAUUUCCAGAGCUAGGAGGCUAUUGUGGGGGUCAGAGCUAGGGGACAAUAGAGGGUCAUUGCUGGGUCUAGGGAGAUCAUCAUGAGGGGGUUCUUGGGUGCUGAGGGGCUACCUGGAGGUUUCACUCUGUAGCUCUGGCUGCCCUGGAACUUGAUGUAUAGACCAUACUGGGCUGGAACUCACAGAGACAUGCCCACCUCAACAAUAGGACUUACCUUCCACCUCUGGGGAGCAGCCAAUGACAAUCGCAACAGUCUGUUUGGGGAAUCUGCUGGACAAUCUUGACCAAUAAUUUGAAAGGGGAACUCUCACACCUGGUGUUCCGGUAUUUCAUAGAUGGUCUUUGACUCUUAGUGGGAACAUUUUAGGUACAGAUGGGAAAUUUUCAUUUAAACUAUCUAUGCUUAUUUGUACACUGAUUUAGAGGUGUUAUUGGCUUUUUUAGGCAGAUAGCUAAUACUAUGACCCCUCAUGACUUGUUCAGACAUUCUCACUGUUACUUUAUGUGCCCACCCCUGUCCCUAUUUAGACUCCCACUCUGCUGUCCCCAUUUUCUGCUUCAGAGUACGAGUGCCUUGCUACUCCCCACCCCAUUUACCCUUUAGGCCUCUCUAUUGCCCCUUUAACCCCUGCAAUGACCCCUUUAUUCCCCUCCAGCCCCUCCAGUGGCCCCUCUAUUGUUUCCCCGGCCUUCCAGUCCCCCCUAUUCCCUCUUAGCCCGCCCCAAAGACUCCCAAUCCCCACAAUGCCCCCCCAGCUCCUGAAAUGACCCCCUUAGUCUCCACAACAGUCCUUCAAUGACUCCCUAGUCCCCACAAUGCACCCACCCCUAUAAUAGCCCCCUAGCCCCUGCAAUGCCCCCGCUAUUGCUUCCAAUGCAAUGACCCCUUUUUACUUUGCUGGUUUCUGUAGUUACUCUAAGUUGAAAGUGUAAAAUUUAGUAUGACCCUUCACAGCUUCCAUUCUGUCUCAGUCAGGGUUUCUAUUCCUGCACAAAACAUUAUGACCAAGAAGCAAGCUGGGGAGGAAAAGGUUUAUUCAGCUUAUACUUCCACAUUGCUGUUCAUCACCAAAGGAAGUCAGAACAGGAACUCACACAGGGCAGGAAGUUGGAGGCAGAAGCUAAUGCAGAGGCCACGAAAGGGUGCUGCUUGCUGGCUUGCUUCCUCUGGCUUGCUCAAAUUGCUUUCUUAUAGAACCCAGGACUACCAACCCAGGGAUGGCACCACCCACAAUGGGCUGGGCCCUCUCUCCUUGAUCACUAAUUGAGAAAAUGCCUUACUGUAGGAUCUCAUGGAAGCAUUUCCUCAAGGGAGGCUCCUUUCUCUGUAAUAACUCCAGCUUGUGUCAAGUUGACACACAAAAACAGCUAGUACUCAUUCCAAAUGCCAAUUCUAACUUAUUUUCAGUGUGUGUUAUUUUUAUUAUUUGCAAGGAUUUUAUUUUAAAAAUUCAUUUAGAAAAGCAAACAUAUAUGCAAACAUUUGCUUACUCCCCUAAGUGUGAGGUUGAACCAGAGAGCAGAGGUAGAAAUCUAAGCGAGACUAUGCGGUGUCUUGAAAGACGUGGUCUUAGCCCGGUGGCCAGCUUGGCCUGCCUGUCAUACACCUCCAGCUAAGCUCGGUCUCCAGCAGCAGUACAGGGGCAGAGGAACACACUAUUUCAUAUGGGGUUGGACAAGCAGGACCUCCCUCACGGGAUGGUGUCUUCCUCCUGGUAUCCUCCAGGAUUGCCCACUCUGUAUCAACACUCACCUGAGUGUCUCAUUUCUCUAGAGAAAGAUUAGCAGUGCACUUGCCCAUCCAAGACAAACUUAGCAGGUUGGUUUGUUUGUUUGGUUUUUACCCAAAUGAACUCAGGGAUAGUCUCAUUUGUCUAAAUAAAACUCUCUAAAGAUUGGACUUUUAGAAGAUCAAAUUUGUUUUAAUUUUAUUUAUUUAAAUCAAAUUUAAAUUUGUCAUGGUUGUAUCAUCCCAAAAGCCAUUAGCAUUAGAGAAAGAAUAGAUGAAAAAGUUAUUAGAGGAAGUCCUGACAAGAGAGAGAGAACAAGAUUUUAUCUAGUGAACAUUUAUUGAGUUCCUGUUGUAUGCUAGACACAGCCUUGAACUGUCUGUGUUGUAUAAAGGCUUCAUUCUGGAUUGUUGGUUGUCGCUGGGGACACAAUGAUCAAAGGACAUAGGUUAAGACAUGGUCAUUUAAAGUGUCAGAAGAAUCACACUGUGAGUAAUAAGGAUGUCAAAGCCCAGGCAGGGGUGUGUGUUAGUGACCAGAGGGCUUCCCUGAGUCCUCUGAGCUGAGGAAAGGACAAUACAGAUGCCAAACAAUCCUGCCUGAAUCCUCGCCAGGACUUCAGUUUUAUUCUGAACACAAUGUGAAAUUAUCAUAUGGUCUAAUGUGGAGGAGGAAAGCCUGGGGUUACCUCUUCAGAAUUCUUAAUAGAAAAAUAAGAACUACCAAAAAAAAUGUAUUGACUCCAAAAGUCCAUGGCUAUUAAAUCUGAAUGCUUUAUAUAAAGCCACGAGAGAAACAACAGAUGGGAAGGCUUCCUUCCAUACAGAGCAGCUGGGAAUACUGAUUGUCUUGGUCAGACAACUGACAAAGCUACCUGAGGGAGGCAAGGGUUGUGCUGGCUCACAGUUUGAGGGAUACAGUCUUUCGUUGAGGAAGGUCCAGCAGCCAGAAUGUGAGGCAACUGGUUAGAUAGCAUCCGUAGUCAAGAAGUUCAAAGAGGGGCUGGUGAGAUGGCUUAGUGAUUAAGAACACUAGCUGUUCUUCCAGAGGUUCUGAGUUCAAAUCCCAGCACCCACAUGGUGGCUCACAACCAUCUAUGAAGGAAUCUGAUGCCCUGUCCAUCUGCCUUUUUAUUUAUUCACAAUUCACCCCAGUGGGAUGGUGCCACCGACAUUUAAGAUGGGUCUUCUCACCUCAGUGAACCUAAUCUAGAAUCUCCUUCACACAUAUACCUUGAGAAUUAUCCCCUAGUUUUUAGAGUCCAUCUAGUUCACAGUCAAUAUUAGCCAUCACACUCAGGAAGGCCAAAGCAGGAAUGGUUUUGGCAGGCCUAGUGAGACUGGUGGGUGGAUCAGAAACAGUGGGGAAACAUGACUGGAUUAAUGAGAACUUCAGCUGGAUUGUAGUUAGAUAAGAGGUAGAUGGUUGUCUUCUUAUGGUGGCCUGUGAACUUCAGGAAAGAUCAUUUAUCUUCUUCUUCUUCUCCUCCUCCUCCUCCUCUUCCUUCAUCAUCAUCAUCAUCAUCAUUUUAUUUUUGUGCUCUCAUGCUAUGGCAAGGGUAAGGAAGUCAGAGAAUGAUGUACUGGAGUCUGUUCGAUCCUAUCACGUACACUCUUCCCAAGGUCAAACUCAGGCUGUCAGACUUGGCAGCAAGCACCUUUAUCCACUGAGCCAUCUCACUAGCCCCAGAAAAAAAAGUAGUUUUUAAGAAAUGCUCAUCACACAUUUAUAUUUCCCAGCUAUUCUUACCAUAACUAGAAAAUGAAGAAUAAACUAUAAAUAUGCUCCAAUAUCUUCCAUAACAAAAUACAUACAUAAAACAUUCUAAUCAAAUAUAGUAUGUGCCUUAAGGCUUUGUACUCCAGCCCUGUUUUCUUUCUGCUCUCUGCUUCUUACUUGUACAUUGUAAUGUGACAAAACUUUUCCUGGGGAGACACAACAUUAACAUCUAAUCACCCAAGAUCAAAGUACCAUUAAAUUCCAGCUUGGUGAACCAAUGAGCUUAUUGGGGUUACUUACAGGGAUAUGGGUGAAGGGUUACUUAUGGGAGCAGAAAUGACUCAAAGACAGCUGCAUCACCAAAGCCCACUUCAGCAUGGGUGACAGCUCACAAACCUGGGAACCUGGAGCACACUGCACAGCCUGCAGGCAGCUCAACAAGCUGGAGAGUGUCCUUUCCAGGUAUCUCGGUUGGUUUGGUUUGAGGCUCCUUUGCAGCUUGCCUUGUCUGAAAGUUUUCUUGGCAGCUCUAUUUGUCUGAGAGAGACUCUCAGCUUUUAUUGGUUACUAUAGCAGGGAGGGGCCUAGUGAAUCUGGUUGGUUUCAGGGACUUCCUGAAGCUGAGUUGAGCUGUUUCCGUUCCUGCUUAAGGAGCUUCCUGAAGAUUGGCAUGUUUUAAUCUUGGAGGAAAUGUUAACAUAACACACGUGCCCAUGUACAGCCACCCAACAAAUGCUCUUCCCACUAAGAUGGGCUGCAUCCCUCCUUAUACUAUGAAUCAAAAUAAACUGUUCUAUCCAAAGUUUCUCCUGCCAAGAUGUUGUGCAAGGGUAAAGAUGAAACAGAAAUUGAAGGGAUGGCCAACCAAUAACUGGCUCAGCUUGAGACCCAUCCCAUGAGCCAACCCCCAGUGCUAUUUAUAAUACUCUGCCAUGCUUGGGGACAGAAAGCUAGCAUAACUGUCACCUGAAAGACUUCAAUCAGUGACUCAGGGGAACAAAUGCAGAGACCUACAACCAAACAUUAGGUGGAGCUUGGGAGAUUCUAUGGAAGAAGGGUUGAAGGAGCCAGAGAGGUCAAGGACACCACAAGAAACCUACAGAAUCAACUAACCUGGGCCCAUAGAGGCUCUCAGAGACUGAACCACCAACCAGAGAGCAUUCAUGGGACAGACCUAGGCCUUCUGCACAGAUGUAACAGCUGUGCAGCUCGGUCUUCAUGUGAGACUCCUAACAGUAGGAGCAGAGGCUGUCUCUGACUCUGUCGCCUCCCUUUGGAUCCCUUCCCCCCAAGUGGGCUGUCUUGUGUAAGUCUCAAUAAAAGAUCCACCUAGUCUUACUGCACCUUGUUAUGCCAAGGCUGGUUGAUAUAUCCAUGGUUGGCACCCCUUUUCUGAGGAGAAAGG
Molecule: long non-coding RNA, 6753 nt
Filed under: Mus musculus (house mouse)
Lineage: Eukaryota; Metazoa; Chordata; Mammalia; Rodentia; Muridae
Description: predicted gene 45601
Source: RNAcentral